Molecule: non-coding RNA, 552 nt
Organism: Paramuricea clavata
Lineage: Eukaryota; Metazoa; Cnidaria; Anthozoa; Malacalcyonacea; Plexauridae
Source: the annotation of a GenBank genome assembly
GGACAAACGUACCUGUGGGCAUAUUCAAUAAGUACGAAAUUUUUGAGUACCUGUUGUACUGAGGAAGUAAGGCAAGGAUUCAAUUUAUUUACUUAUACUUUUGAGAAUACAAAAUUUACUGAGGAAGCUCGAGAACAAGACACUCGACACAUAUUAGUGACAGUGAAAGCACUUUUUAGUUUAAUCACUUGCCACACUUUCUAAUGACGUUAUAUUCUCACACUUAUGUCGCUCUGCAGUAAAUUCUACGCCAUAACACGCCAGCAAUUAAAUUACAAGACGAGUUUUAUACGGUACGGGUUUAUCAUUUGUGUUUAAAUUUUUUCUUAUAUAAUGAAUUUUUUCACAACUUUAAUGUUUACCUUACAAGCGAAUAAAAAUAUCAAAUAUAUGUCAACACAAAAUCAGUAAUGAAUUACUGGCAAUUUCAACUUGUAAACAUAGAAACGUUUUGCAGCCAUUAAUCAUUUAUAUGCAUACGUCUAUGAUACACGCACGGAAAACAAAAUCCUUCUAUUCUUGGGUUCAUAUGACGUCACGGCAGUGACGGGG